Molecule: transfer RNA, 73 nt
Filed under: Daphnia magna
Lineage: Eukaryota; Metazoa; Arthropoda; Branchiopoda; Diplostraca; Daphniidae
Rfam family: tRNA
About the family: Transfer RNA (tRNA) molecules are approximately 80 nucleotides in length. Their secondary structure includes four short double-helical elements and three loops (D, anti-codon, and T loops). Further hydrogen bonds mediate the characteristic L-shaped molecular structure. tRNAs have two regions of fundamental functional importance: the anti-codon, which is responsible for specific mRNA codon recognition, and the 3' end, to which the tRNAs corresponding amino acid is attached (by aminoacyl-tRNA synthetases). tRNAs cope with the degeneracy of the genetic code in two manners: having more than one tRNA (with a specific anti-codon) for a particular amino acid; and 'wobble' base-pairing, i.e. permitting non-standard base-pairing at the 3rd anti-codon position.
Source: Rfam by way of RNAcentral
GAUCAUGUGGCCUAAUGGAUAAGGCGUCGGACUUCUAAUCCGAUAAUUGCGGGUUCAAGUCCCGCCAUGAUUA